RNAcentral lists this ribosomal RNA (399 nucleotides) under Nematoda sp. YAMAG2018. RNAcentral describes it as "SSU rRNA". It matches the Rfam family "Eukaryotic small subunit ribosomal RNA", at positions 260 to 658 of the family's 1831-position model. Lineage: Eukaryota; Metazoa; Nematoda. The record is from RNAcentral.
GAGCAAAUCGCUCCGGUCUUCGUACCGGCGAUGUAUCUUUCAAGUGUCUGCCUUAUCAACUUUCGAUGGUAGUUUAUGUGCCUACCAUGGUUGUAACGGGUAACGGAGAAUUAGGGUUCGACUCCGGAGAGGGAGCCUGAGAAACGGCUACCACUUCUAAGGAAGGCAGCAGGCGCGCAAAUUACCCACUCUCGGCACGAGGAGGUAGUGACGAAAAAUAACGAGACGGUGAUCUCAUGAUUACCGUCAUCGGAAUGAGAACAAUCUAAACCCUUUAACGAGGACCUAGCGGAGGGCAAGUCUGGUGCCAGCAGCCGCGGUAAUUCCAGCUCCGCCAGUGUAUAUCUAUGCUGCUGCGGUUAAAAAGCUCGUAGUUGGAUCUGCGUGCCACGGGAGGGU